This 164-nucleotide ribosomal RNA is filed under the name uncultured bacterium. Its description in RNAcentral is "partial 16S rRNA". It matches the Rfam family "Bacterial small subunit ribosomal RNA", at positions 355 to 511 of the family's 1533-position model. The record is from RNAcentral.
UAGGGAAUCUUCGGCAAUGGACGAGAGUCUGACCGAGCAACGCCGCGNGGUGAAGAAGGUUUUCGGAUCGUAAAACUCUGUUGGUAGAGAAGAACGUUGGUGAGAGUGGAAAGCUCAUCAAGUGACGGUAACUACCCAGAAAGGGACGGCUAACUACGUGCCAC